This is a non-coding RNA of Acanthosepion pharaonis, 99 nucleotides long. The record is from the annotation of a GenBank genome assembly. NCBI's taxonomy places the organism in Eukaryota, Metazoa, Mollusca, Cephalopoda, Sepiida, Sepiidae.
GGCCAAAUCACAUUGAAACCUUGUACGACCACCGAAGUUAAGCAAUGUCGAGCCUGAUCAGUACCUAGAUGAGGGACCGCUUGGGAAUACCAGGUGCUG